CAUUCACGGAGAGUUUGAUCCUGGCUCAGGACGAACGCUGGCGGCGUGCUUAACACAUGCAAGUCGAACGAUGAACCACUUCGGUGGGGAUUAGUGGCGAACGGGUGAGUAACACGUGGGU
Molecule: ribosomal RNA, 121 nt
Filed under: Streptomyces sp. CS113
Lineage: Bacteria; Bacillati; Actinomycetota; Actinomycetes; Kitasatosporales; Streptomycetaceae
Description: partial 16S ribosomal RNA
Rfam family: Bacterial small subunit ribosomal RNA
Source: RNAcentral